This 302-nucleotide ribosomal RNA is filed under the name Clostridium haemolyticum. RNAcentral's name for it is "partial 16S ribosomal RNA". It matches the Rfam family "Bacterial small subunit ribosomal RNA", at positions 1 to 297 of the family's 1533-position model. The record is from RNAcentral. Lineage: Bacteria; Bacillati; Bacillota; Clostridia; Eubacteriales; Clostridiaceae.
UUUUAAAUUGAGAGUUUGAUCCUGGCUCAGGACGAACGCUGGCGGCGUGCCUAACACAUGCAAGUCGAGCGAUGAAACUUCCUUCGGGAAGUGGAUUAGCGGCGGACGGGUGAGUAACACGUGGGUAACCUGCCUCAAAGAGGGGGAUAGCCUCCCGAAAGGGAGAUUAAUACCGCAUAACAUUAUUUUAUGGCAUCAUAGAAUAAUCAAAGGAGUAAUCCGCUUUGAGAUGGACCCGCGGCGCAUUAGCUAGUUGGUGAGGUAAGGGCUCACCAAGGCGACGAUGCGUAGCCGACCUGAGA